CUAUUGCCCUAUCCACGAAAAACAUAAUAACAAAAUAAAAGGGAACAAAAAAAAUUAAACCCUCUUUCACUUUUUGAGAUUCGGGUUUUGCUUCGACGAAGGUCGAGCUCGGCUCAGCUCCCGGCCAGAGCUCCUUCAGAAUAUCACCAAUAUUUUCUAGAAAGGGCGAAAUAUGCCCCAUAAAUGGGGGUAAUUUCCAAAAAAGAAGACAGUGAACGAUUUGGAAAACUAAACAACCCAAAAAAGUGUUAAGCAAGGAAAAAGACCUCGCGGGAAGCCUUUUGGGCCAGGGCCUGGGCCAAUCCCCGUUUUUCCUCCGCGCCGCCAAUUGUUUGCGGUGAGUCCGUGUGAUUGAAAACGUUUCCGCGA
This 369-nucleotide long non-coding RNA is filed under the name Oryza brachyantha (malo sina). RNAcentral describes it as "long non-coding RNA (OBRA_LNC003547)". Lineage: Eukaryota; Viridiplantae; Streptophyta; Magnoliopsida; Poales; Poaceae. The record is from RNAcentral.